UUUUAGUGUCCGGUCAAACAAUUAUGAGUUUUUUUAACUUUUCCACCCUUUCCAUCUCCUUACUUCCAGGUAAGGCACCCCUUUCUCAAAGGACUGUGCGUAGUCCCGCAGGGCCCGCUCCUCCUCCAGGAACUUGGCGUCCCGUCCAUCCCCAGCUGGCUGGAAGAGGCCAUAGUUGUAUACAUCCCACAGCGACUCACUGAGGGAUAAGAUGAUCUGCUGCUUAGCGCUCCACACCGUGCAGUCUUGGUCAAACUGGAGACACCUCUGACAGAUGGGCAACAUGGAGCAUAGUGGAGUCCAGAGCCGGAGGACAGAGCUGCAGUCGGGCUUAACAAGAGGGCUGAGGGGUCUAAAUCAGAUGUGUGCAUCUAUGCUAUUGUUCCAUUCCAGAGCAGUGUUGCGCAAGACAAGACAAUCACUGUACUUUUUCCUACUUCCUUUUGGGACUCGUCCCUGGGCUUGUGGGAUGACUGGAAUGAAAAAAAGCUUUGAAAUAAGAGAUGCGCUUGCACAGUUAUGCACACUGUUUGGCUAAUGUACAAAAAUGAGUGCAUCAAGUACCCCUGAGUACAUUUCAGCAACUAAUUUGAAACAGAUGUAGAGUCAACAACGCAGCAAUAAAAGAGAAAAAUGUUUUCAUUUAGAAAUGUAAAAUAAAUUGGAUUUGGAAAGGAAAUGUGAAUCAGUGAAUCAUUUAAGCUUCCCCAGCUGCCCUGUUUGUGACUGUUUUUCAUUCUAGAUACACUUUUAAACGUUCGGCUUUUGAUUUGAUUGUUCAUUUUUCAAAUUGUU
Scophthalmus maximus (turbot) is the source of this 795-nucleotide long non-coding RNA. RefSeq lists it as uncharacterized. The transcript has 3 exons. NCBI's taxonomy places the organism in Eukaryota, Metazoa, Chordata, Actinopteri, Pleuronectiformes, Scophthalmidae. The record is from RefSeq and is a predicted model, not a curated record.